RNAcentral lists this transfer RNA (102 nucleotides) under Streptomyces himalayensis subsp. himalayensis. RNAcentral's name for it is "Streptomyces sp. PSKA28 tRNA-OTHER". It matches the Rfam family "tRNA". Rfam says of the family: Transfer RNA (tRNA) molecules are approximately 80 nucleotides in length. Their secondary structure includes four short double-helical elements and three loops (D, anti-codon, and T loops). The record is from RNAcentral. Lineage: Bacteria; Bacillati; Actinomycetota; Actinomycetes; Kitasatosporales; Streptomycetaceae.
GGAGGAUUGGCCGAGAGGUAAGGCACCGGCUUGCGCUGUGUUCGAUCAGAAGCGAGUCGUGGUCGGGGUUGCCCCGCGCGCGUUCGAUCCGCGCAUCCUCCG